RNAcentral lists this ribosomal RNA (480 nucleotides) under uncultured bacterium. RNAcentral describes it as "partial 16S ribosomal RNA". It matches the Rfam family "Bacterial small subunit ribosomal RNA", at positions 28 to 507 of the family's 1533-position model. The record is from RNAcentral.
GACGAACGCUGGCGGCGCGCCUAACACAUGCAAGUCGAGCGAUGAAAUUUUAACCGAUCUCUUCGGAGAGAAGAUAAAAUGGAUUAGCGGCGGACGGGUGAGUAACACGUGAGAAACCUGCCUUUCACAAGGGGAUAGCCUCGGGAAACCGGGAUUAAUACCCUAUGACACAUUUCCUUCGCAUGGAAGAAAUGUUAAAACUCCGGUGGUGAAAGAUGGUCACGCGCCUGAUUAGCUAGUUGGUGGGGUAACGGCCCACCAAGGCCAUGAUCAGUAACCGGCCUGAGAGGGUGAACGGUCACAUUGGAACUGAGACACGGUCCAAACUCCUACGGGAGGCAGCAGUGGGGAAUAUUGCACAAUGGAGGAAACUCUGAUGCAGCGACGCCGCGUGAGCGAUGAAGGCUUUCGAGUCGUAAAGCUCUGUCCUAUGGGAAGAUAAUGACGGUACCAUAGGAGGAAGCCCCGGCUAACUACGUG